UAAGACUGCCUUCUGUAAAGCAAUUGAGAAAGAAAAAAGAGACUCAAUAUUUUCGCAUAACAACCCUUAAAAUGCUAAGCAAUACUGGCAUUAAAACUGGCAGUACAAUUCAAGAUUGUCCUGGAGACAGAGGACAUUAAGGAAAUUGGUGCUGACCACCAUCUGGGAGCUCAGGUGGAGCUGAAAGGCACAGCCCCUGGUACUCCUCCAUGUGGACCUAUCUACCUGGCUACUCGGGCUUCGUCAGAACAUGGCCACUGGAUUCCAAACAGGAGGAAAUAGGAAGCCCCCAGUCCACUUAUGGCUUGGACCCAGAAGACCUAGAAUGCCACGUAUGCCACAUUUUAUUUAUCAGAGCAGUCAGAUGGCCAGUGCAGAAUUACAGGAAGAAGAAUUACACUCUACUUUUGGAUGGAGGGUGGCAUGUAUGUAUGGAGACCAAAGGAACUGAUGUCAGCCAUCACUGGAGACCAUCACAGACUUAAUUUCAUUCCAUUUCUGACCAGGUUAAGCAAAACACGCUUUCAGAGUCUCUCUACACUGUAAUAGUUCUGUAAAUUCCAAAUCAACACAACAAACCUACUCUUAGUGUAAUGUGUUUUAUCUAAGAUUUUUCUUCAUUUAGUCAUUAAAACUAAAAAGCACUGUA
Panthera uncia (snow leopard) is the source of this 649-nucleotide long non-coding RNA. RefSeq lists it as uncharacterized. NCBI's taxonomy places the organism in Eukaryota, Metazoa, Chordata, Mammalia, Carnivora, Felidae. The record is from RefSeq and is a predicted model, not a curated record. The transcript has 2 exons.